GACCAUGUUCAGGUCCCCAGCUGGAGCCCUGCUUCUUGGCCGUCUGUUUGUCGUUCAUGCCACUGCUGCUUCCCUGGGGAUUUGGGGAGGGUAAUCUAGAAGAGGCAGCAGGGUAUAAGGAACAGAAACAGUAAUAAUCCUGGAACGAGCUGGAUCUAAUUUUAAAUCUGGGCUCUGCAAUGUGCUGGUUGGGUGACCUGGGCAAAUGCUAGCUCCCCUGGGUCAGGCCCGGUAUAAUUUCUUCAAGAGCCCUGCAGGUUCAGGAUUUCAACCUACUUUCCCCGGGGGAGGUGGAAGGACUGCCAAGACCAUCUGGCCAAGGAUGUCCUGAUGAGGAACAUGGUGCAGCUGCUGAAAACUACCUGGGAGAAUUUGGGAGGGGCCGAAAGGAGGGAGGAGAUGCCAGCCCAUAAUAUGUCCUGCCAACCUCCCAGAAACCAUUGCUCUGGAAACCAUCUUGACUGAGAGAUGUGCACACCGCCAGGAAGGUCCUUGAAUGGGACCAGAUAUGGGCACAAGCAAGAUGAUUGGCCAGAGACAACCUGGAAAGCUAACGCCACCACCAUAAACCCUGAGACUGUGAUCCACGUGGCAGAGCAGUUCCGGGUGCUCUCCGCCCGGGUCUCCCUUCCCAAUAAAGUCUUUUACUUUGUUAGUA
Long non-coding RNA from Lagenorhynchus albirostris (white-beaked dolphin), 658 nucleotides. RefSeq lists it as uncharacterized. The record is from RefSeq and is a predicted model, not a curated record. The transcript has 2 exons. Lineage: Eukaryota; Metazoa; Chordata; Mammalia; Artiodactyla; Delphinidae.